Molecule: ribosomal RNA, 657 nt
Filed under: uncultured bacterium
Lineage: Bacteria
Description: bacterial SSU rRNA
Rfam family: Bacterial small subunit ribosomal RNA
Source: RNAcentral
AGUGGCGGACGGGUGAGUAACGCGUGAGAAUCUGCCUUGGGGUCGGGGACAACCACUGGAAACGGUGGCUAAUACCGGAUAAGCCGAUUGGUGAAAGAUUUAUUGCCCGAAGAGGAGCUCGCGUCUGAUUAGCUAGUUGGUGAGGUAAGAGCUCACCAAGGCAGCGAUCAGUAGCUGGUCUGAGAGGACGAUCAGCCACACUGGGACUGAGACACGGCCCAGACUCCUACGGGAGGCAGCAGUGGGGAAUUUUCCGCAAUGGGCGAAAGCCUGACGGAGCAAGACCGCGUGAGGGAGGAAGGCUCUUGGGUUGUAAACCUCUUUUCUCAGGGAAGAAGCUCUGACGGUACCUGAGGAAUCAGCCUCGGCUAACUCCGUGCCAGCAGCCGCGGUAAUACGGAGGAGGCAAGCGUUAUCCGGAAUUAUUGGGCGUAAAGCGUCCGCAGGUGGCGAUUCAAGUCUGCUGUCAAAGCACGGGGCUUAACUCCGUAAAGGCAGUGGAAACUGAAUAGCUAGAGUGCCGUAGGGGUAGAGGGAAUUCCCGGUGUAGCGGUGAAAUGCGAGAUCGGGAAGAACAUCGGUGGCGAAAGCGCUCUACUGGACGGCAACUGACACUCAGGGACGAAAGCUAGGGGAGCGAAUGGGAUUAGAUACCCC